GUGAGGAAUAUUGCUCAAUGGGCGAAAGCCUGAAGCAGCAACGCCGCGUGGAGGAAGAAGGUCUUCGGAUUGUAAACUCCUUUUCUUAGGGACGAGGAAGGACGGUACCUGAGGAAUAAGUCACGGCUAACUACGUGCCAGCAGCCGCGGUAAUACGUAGGUGGCGAGCGUUAUCCGGAAUUAUUGGGCGUAAAGCGCAAGCAGGCGGCUUCUUAAGUCUGACGUAAAAUUUCCUGGCUUAACUGGGAGGGGUCGUUGGAGACUGAGGGGCUUGAGGCGAUGAGAGGGACAUGGAAUUCCCGGUGUAGUGGUGGAAUGCGUAGAUAUCGGGAGGAAUACCAGAGGCGAAAGCGGUGUCCUGGCAUUAGCCUGACGCUCAUGUGCGAAAGCGUGGGGAGCGAACGGGAUUAGAAACCCCGGUAGUCC
RNAcentral lists this ribosomal RNA (426 nucleotides) under uncultured bacterium. RNAcentral's name for it is "bacterial SSU rRNA". It matches the Rfam family "Bacterial small subunit ribosomal RNA", at positions 354 to 796 of the family's 1533-position model. The record is from RNAcentral.